AACGAACGCUGGCGGCGCGCUUAACACAUGCAAGUCGAACGAGAAGGCGUAGCAAUACGCUUGUAAAGUGGCGAAACGGGUGAGGAAUACAUGGGGUAACCCUACCCUCGGAGUCGGGGGAGUAACCCGCCGGAAAGGACGGGCUAAUACCGCGUACGCUUCCGAUCUUGCGGGAUCGGAAGGAAAGCUGUCCCCAAGGGGAUGGCGCUCAAGGAUGGGCUCAUGUCCGUAAUCAGCUUGUUGGUAGGUAACGGCCACCAAGGCAUCGACGGGUAGCUGGUC
RNAcentral lists this ribosomal RNA (282 nucleotides) under uncultured bacterium. RNAcentral describes it as "partial 16S ribosomal RNA". It matches the Rfam family "Bacterial small subunit ribosomal RNA", at positions 29 to 292 of the family's 1533-position model. The record is from RNAcentral.